ACCAGACUCCUACGGGAGGCAGCAGUGAGGAAUAUUGGUCAAUGGUCGGGAGACUGAACCAGCCAAGCCGCGUGAGGGAUGAAGGUACAGAGUAUCGUAAACCUCUUUUGUCAGGGAACAAAGGCGGGGACGCGUCCCCGGAUGAGUGUACCUGAAGAAAAAGCAUCGGCUAACUCCGUGCCAGCAGCCGCGGUAAUACGGAGGAUGCGAGCGUUAUCCGGAUUUAUUGGGUUUAAAGGGUGCGCAGGCGGUCUGUUAAGUCAGUGGUCAAAGCCGGGGGCUCACCCCCGGCGAGCCGUUGAAACUGGCUGUCUUGAGAUGUCGAGAGGUAUGCGGAAUGCGCAGUGUAGCGGUGAAAUGCAUAGAUAUCACGCAGAACUCCGAUUGCGAAGGCAGCAUACCGGCGCCCAACUGACGCUGAAGCACGAAAGCGUGGGUAUCGAACAGGAUUAGAUACCCCUGUAU
This 465-nucleotide ribosomal RNA is filed under the name uncultured bacterium. Its description in RNAcentral is "bacterial SSU rRNA". It matches the Rfam family "Bacterial small subunit ribosomal RNA", at positions 330 to 793 of the family's 1533-position model. The record is from RNAcentral.